UACGUAGGGGGCUAGCGUUGUCCGGAAUCAUUGGGCGUAAAGCGCGCGUAGGCGGCCCGGUAAGUCCGCUGUAAAAGUCCAGGGCUCAACCCUGGAACGCCGGUGGAUACUGCCGUGCUUGAGGACUGGAGAGGAGACUGGAAUUUACGGUGUAGCGGUGAAAUGCGUAGAUAUCGUAAGGAAGACCAGUGGCGAAGGCGGGUCUCUGGACAGUUCCUGACGCUGAGGCACGAAGGUCAGGGGAGCAAACGGG
RNAcentral lists this ribosomal RNA (253 nucleotides) under uncultured bacterium. RNAcentral's name for it is "partial 16S ribosomal RNA". It matches the Rfam family "Bacterial small subunit ribosomal RNA", at positions 524 to 776 of the family's 1533-position model. The record is from RNAcentral.